RNAcentral lists this ribosomal RNA (253 nucleotides) under uncultured bacterium. RNAcentral's name for it is "partial 16S ribosomal RNA". It matches the Rfam family "Bacterial small subunit ribosomal RNA", at positions 524 to 776 of the family's 1533-position model. The record is from RNAcentral.
GACAGAGGAGGCAAGCGUUAUCCGGAAUUAUUGGGCGUAAAGCGAUCGUAAGUGGCUAGGCAAGUCUGGGGUUAAAGCCCGCAGCCUAACUCCGGAUCGGCCCUGGAAACUGCCAGGCUAGAGUAAGGUAGGGGUUGCGGGAAUUCCCGGUGUAGCGGUGAAAUGCGUAGAGAUCGGGAAGAACACCUGUGGCGAAAGUGCGCAACUGGGCCAUUACUGACACUGAGGGACGAAAGCUAGGGGAGCGAAUGGG